AGUAACGCGUGGGUAACCUGCCUCAUACAGGGGGAUAACAGUUAGAAAUGACUGCUAAUACCGCAUAAGCGCACGGCAUCGCAUGAUGCAGUGUGAAAAACUCCGGUGGUGUGAGAUGGAUCCGCGUCUGAUUAGGUAGUUGGUGGGGUAACGGCCUACCAAGCCGACGAUCAGUAGCCGACCUGAGAGGGUGACCGGCCACAUUGGGACUGAGACACGGCCCAA
RNAcentral lists this ribosomal RNA (225 nucleotides) under uncultured bacterium. RNAcentral's name for it is "partial 16S ribosomal RNA". It matches the Rfam family "Bacterial small subunit ribosomal RNA", at positions 109 to 334 of the family's 1533-position model. The record is from RNAcentral.